ACGCUGGCGGCAGGCCUAACACAUGCAAGUCGAGCGGUAGAGAGAAGCUUGCUUCUCUUGAGAGCGGCGGACGGGUGAGUAAUGCCUAGGAAUCUGCCUGGUAGUGGGGGAUAACGUUCGGAAACGGACGCUAAUACCGCAUACGUCCUACGGGAGAAAGCAGGGGACCUUCGGGCCUUGCGCUAUCAGAUGAGCCUAGGUCGGAUUAGCUAGUUGGUGGGGUAAUGGCUCACCAAGGCGACGAUCCGUAACUGGUCUGAGAGGAUGAUCAGUCACACUGGAACUGAGACACGGUCCAGACUCCUACGGGAGGCAGCAGUGGGGAAUAUUGGACAAUGGGCGAAAGCCUGAUCCAGCCAUGCCGCGUGUGUGAAGAAGGUCUUCGGAUUGUAAAGCACUUUAAGUUGGGAGGAAGGGCAGUUACCUAAUACGUGAUUGUUUUGACGUUACCGACAGAAUAAGCACCGGCUAACUCUGUGCCAGCAGCCGCGGUAAUACAGAGGGCGCAAGCGUUAAUCGGAAUUACUGGGCGUAAAGCGCGCGUAGGUGGUUCGUUAAGUUGGAUGUGAAAUCCCCGGGCUCAACCUGGGAACUGCAUUCAAAACUGACGAGCUAGAGUAUGGUAGAGGGUGGUGGAAUUUCCUGUGUAGCGGUGAAAUGCGUAGAUAUAGGAAGGAACACCAGUGGCGAAGGCGACCACCUGGACUGAUACUGACACUGAGGUGCGAAAGCGUGGGGAGCAAAC
This 745-nucleotide ribosomal RNA is filed under the name uncultured bacterium. RNAcentral describes it as "bacterial SSU rRNA". It matches the Rfam family "Bacterial small subunit ribosomal RNA", at positions 33 to 773 of the family's 1533-position model. The record is from RNAcentral.